GUGAUUGCAGAUUCAGUGAUCAUCGAAUCUUUAGAACGCACAUUGCGCCCUUUGGUAUUCCAAAGGGCAUGCCUGUUCGAGCGUCAUUUGUACCCUCAAGCUUUGCUUGGUGUUGGGCGUCUUGUCUCCAGUUCGCUGGAGACUCGCCUUAAAGUAAUUGGCAGCCGGCCUACUGGUUUCGGAGCGCAGCACAAGUCGCGCUCUCUUCCAGCGAAGGUCAGCAUCCACAAAGCCUUUUUUCAACUUUUGACCUCGGAUCAGGUAGGGAUACCCGCUAAACUUAAGCAUAUCAAUAAGCGGAGG
Molecule: unclassified non-coding RNA, 303 nt
Filed under: Alternaria alternata
Lineage: Eukaryota; Fungi; Ascomycota; Dothideomycetes; Pleosporales; Pleosporaceae
Description: sequence contains 5.8S rRNA gene, ITS2
Rfam family: 5.8S ribosomal RNA (bases 1-86)
Source: RNAcentral